RNAcentral lists this ribosomal RNA (331 nucleotides) under uncultured bacterium. RNAcentral describes it as "bacterial SSU rRNA". It matches the Rfam family "Bacterial small subunit ribosomal RNA", at positions 30 to 361 of the family's 1533-position model. The record is from RNAcentral.
AUUGAACGCUGGCGGCAUGCCUUACACAUGCAAGUCGAACGGCAGCACGGGAGCAAUCCUGGUGGCGAGUGGCGAACGGGUGAGUAAUAUAUCGGAACGUGCCCGGUCGUGGGGAUAACGUAGCGAAAGCUACGCUAAUACCGCAUACGAUCUACGGAUGAAAGCGGGGGGAUCGCAAGACCUCGCGCGAUUGGAGCGGCCGAUAUCAGAUUAGGUAGUUGGUGAGGUAAAGGCUCACCAAGCCGACGAUCUGUAGCUGGUCUGAGAGGACGACCAGCCACACUGGGACUGAGACACGGCCCAGACUCCUACGGGAGGCAGCAGUGGGGAA